This is a long non-coding RNA of Taeniopygia guttata (zebra finch), 7322 nucleotides long. RefSeq lists it as uncharacterized. NCBI's taxonomy places the organism in Eukaryota, Metazoa, Chordata, Aves, Passeriformes, Estrildidae. The record is from RefSeq and is a predicted model, not a curated record.
CCAGCAUCGUGUGCUUGGCCAUUCAGCCCGGAUUAGCACUACGAGAACAAGCUCCCUUAAUGAAACACCUGCUGAUUACAUGAGUAUUUAGCUUUAUACCAAACUGUCAGAGGAAAAAUAAGUGUGAAGCUAAGCCCCAGGUCUGCCGUUUUGUUUCUGGGUUUUUCGGUCCUGCUGAAGACACACCAACGUGCUUGAUGUGCUGAAAGAAGGCACAGCAUGGGAUCUGCUGCUCUGGGUCUCUGUGCCUUACAAAGCAUGUGCACUGUGUCUGCCUGCCCCUGCAUCCAGAUGCUGUGCUGUAGGAACUCUGCUGCUGAUGAAUUUGAGAGACAGAAAUCACCAGCUUCAGAGAUAUCCAUCUUCCUUAAAAGCAAGCAAGCCAUUAUGAGUCAGGCAGAUUAUCUGCCAGCAGCCCACUGAAGAGAGCUGUCUUCUUCAGAAGGGAGGAUUCCUGAUGAGUGCAGCAAGGGCAAGGGGACAGGCUGGCAAUGGAAGGGGAGAACACAGCUGCUGCAGUCUCCAUGCCAGGGUGCCAGGGCUGUGCAUGGAGCACAUGGGAGAAAAAGUUAGUGGCCUCUUUGCCUAGGGGACUGUGAUGUAUUCAAAGCUGUGGAUUUGGCUCUGGGAGAAGCUGAGUUUGAUGAUGGUACCAAGGUGCCCAGCAGAGCUGACCACUGUGAUGUGGGUUGGGGUGGAUUCCUCUAUGCUGGGGUGCAGUUACUUGUAGGUACAGAGUACAAUAAGACUCUCCCUGCCUGCAGGAAAGCUGAAAUUGGUGUGGCCUCUGUUAUUUUCUCAGUCGACUUUGAAACAGAAGAUUUGUCUUGAGGAGGCUCAAGAUACAUGAAAACAGUCACACCAGCUGCAGAGGCAGCUCCCUUCUGACUUGACAUGAUCAGAGAAGUAGUAUCCUGCCAUCAAGGAGCUGCAGCUUCAUCCUCAGGAACGCUGACAUUAGCCUACCCCAGCUAGAGCUGUGACUCAAGGCCAGGGCCAAAUGAGAGGGGCAGAGACCAGCUGCAGACAGGGACCUGGCAGAGGAGCAUGGCAGCUCAUCCUUUUUCAGGUGAACAAGGACAUUUUUUGGUGGGUGAUGCACGAGAGGAGCUGUGGCACAGGGGCAGAGCUGUUGAGGUUGGAGGAGGGUUGGGAGGAAGGGCUGCUAUUGAAUUGCCAGUCCUGGUUCUAUCUGCAAAUAGGAGGUCGAGCUGUCACUGGUGUGCAAAGUAGCAGAUGGCCUAAUUGUGAGAUUUCUCCUUUGCAAGAGCAAAAUGCUAUGCUGUUUUUAACAUCUUUGCCUAGAGCUAGCUUCAGAUACAACCAAGAUAUAUUGUGCUAGAAAUGUGCUCUAGUGAUAAUCAGGAGAAAACUCUGCUUGAAGUGAGAUUUAAAAAAUAGUUAUUAUGGCCUAUUGCUGUUAGUCCCACAUCCCAAAAGCUGAUCUGACUAAAAGAGCUUUCCAAAGCAUCUUCUGCUCGACAGAUCAUCUGGAAAUUAUUCCAUCAUUGUGCCACCAUGUCUCGUCUUAUAACCCCAGGACAGUCUCUAUGUAUGCACACCAUUUCUUCCCUCUUCCUGGCAGAAAAGAAUUCUCUCCAGCUUCCCAUUUUUCUCAUGCAGCUUCAGCAGGUUGUGUGCAGCUCCUUGUCUUGGACAUUUUGCUGGAGAUCACAAGGCCUCCAUGAAGCAUGGCCACCUCAUCCCUCCUUGGGUGCCUGUAAGAGCUCCAGGCCUGCAGGCAGAGACAGCAGAGCUCACCAGUGUCACACCAACACCAGGUGCUUGAAACUUUAUAUUGAAGGUGCAGGGUUGUUACUGCUGAGUGUUAUGGCAGGUGCAUUUUGUCAGCUUCAGCUCUGAUCUGAAAUCAGGGGAGAGAGCAGCACCUUUCCCAGCUGGCUCAGGCUUGCAGAGAAAACUCUGGUAAGGAUACGUGUGGAGAGAAAACUUUGACUAACCUGUAAAUCUGCUUAAUAUCACUAUUCAGUGAGGGCAAAACCUAGGGCAAGGAUCAGUUUGGAACGGAAUCAAGUGAAUGCUCUGUUUGAGGACAGAAGCCCUUGUUGAUUUUUUUGCAGGCCACUCACCAUAUUUUAAAGGACUUUUGCCUGUGUAUAGCAUGUGCUGCCUCUUUCUGACAGACCUUUAAACUUGGUAGUGUCUGUUGGGGUUUUCUGGCAAUAAAAGGGCUUUAAUGGGUUAUCUGUAAGCUUUGUCUUUUAAGUAUGGGGGUGUAUUAAAUCUUCUUUAAAUCUACCUUUCUCUUACUGUCCAUCUUCAAAAGACUCUUAUCCUUGCAAAAGAUGUCUGUGCUGCAACAGUCUGUCCUUCCCAUUCCUUCCUCUGACUUUCUUCCCCUGUUUUCUCAGAAGUCUCCUGCUAAAAAUCCCCCAGCUGUGAGACACCAGCCCAUCUCUCAGAUUCCACUGAUUUCAUGUCUCUCUCAGCCUCCAUGUAAAUCUCCUUAUCUCUCCCUUAAGGUCCUCUUUAAGUUACUUUGCCUUUAAUCUCAUUCCUCCCACUCCUCCUCCUAUUCUCCCAGUCAUCUCUCUUUCUGCUCAUUUUAUCUUGUUCUUGGAUGCUUCAAUCUUGCUUUUUUUCUUCAUAGUCCUCAGACACCUCGAUCCAUCUCCCAUUUUCUGUUAACCAAACACUUUCUUCUUCUUCUGUCAACUCUACCUUAAAUCCCUUUUUCUUCCUUGCUAGCACUAACACACCACAUGCCCUCAUGCAGAGUCAUCUGAGCUGCUGUCCCACGUGGUUUUCCUGGAGUGCAUGUUCUUCACACCAGGAAUUUGUGGUUCUCCUACAGUGCACACCCCACAGAUACAAACACACAAGGGUCUUUUGAAGAACAGCAGUUGCUGGUUUUGAUCACAGCAGAUAACCAUGAACUGGCUACUCCCUGCCUUCAGCAGCACUCCUUAUGGACAAGUAAUAAGCUCUGCAGCAUAGGAUUUCUUUUAUGUAAUGGAAGAUAAUGAGAGGCACACCAAGAAGCAGGUUUAUUGUACCCUAUGCAAAAGUAUCAACCCAAAGGCGGAUUGUCAGCUCCUUAACCUGGUCUUCUCUGUGUCACUGAGUUGAUGUAAUGAGGCUUUAGUACGGUCCUACCCAGCCAGUGGUGGAUUUCCUUCGAGGCAGAGGAUGUCCCCAGAGGUGGGGGAGUUGGUGACUCUUGAUGGCUUCCUCUUACAGCUUGUCAAAGGACAGAAAAAGAAGCCGUUGCAGAAUCUGAAAAUAUUGGAAUACAUUCUGCAAUUUCCUGGACUUUAUGCUGCCUCUCGUAAGUGUUACGGUAUUAUUUCCAGUCCCUGAAAACAGAACCGUACUAAAGCUGAUGACUAUGGGAUUUCUGUUAUCUUGGAGUAAAUACAGGGUGUAUGCUUUCCCUCCUAUUAAGGUAUUUUAGAAAAUGAAACACAGAAAAAGCAAGAUCUGGCUCAGAGUUAGUGUGAGGGCCAUCUAUUCUUGUACUUCAAGAACACGGUUUCGAAAUGGGAUCUCUUACUGCCUCUGCCCAGGCAGCAUUCUCAUCUUCCAGAACGAUACACUGGUGAGAUGAAGAUCUAGAGCUACGUUUUUCUCAUAGGAGCAUAGAAAAUACUGCAGGUUUAUGGACAAUGUUCCAUCAGAAAUCCUCAUAAAAUUGAAGCAGUUGUUUGCCUCUUUAAAACUUAAAAAAGAAAGGAAAAUAUUGUGAGUCCCAUUGGCUUUUUACUCUUAAUCCUAGUCUAGAGCCUAUGAUUAGAUAUUGUGCCUUCCUCCAGCCUCCCAGUUUUAUGUGAGUGCACCUAUCUGCCUUUUUGGACUCUCCUGUCUUGUUUUGUGUUAAUGAGUGGUCACAAUAUAGUUCAAGAGUCAGUUUUAGGUCACCUGAAUCAGCUUUACAACAUCUAGCCUCAAGGAGGAGAGCGCUGUAAUCUCAACAACAGAGCUCUGUAUCCGCUGGCUGCAAACCUGCCUGGCUUCUCCCGUGGGCCUGGUGCUCUGUGGAAGGCACCACACUCCUAGAGCUGCCUUGGUAUUCCUGUCUGAAUGACCUAAAAGCUGGUUGGGAUAUGCCUGGGUCACCUUCAGCAUUGACACAGCCAUAGGUAUAUCCUGAAAGCAGAUAAUGCAGUCCCUUCUGCCAGGUACUGCUCUUGUCUAUGCACUUCCACAGAAAGUGAAGUGUGGAGGAAUCACCUGUCCAUACUCCCUAGGGGAAGAAAUGCUGUCCUCAUGAUUUUGGGCACUGUGCAGUCCAGGUGUGAGUGCUCUAGGGACCAGGCACAAAGGACAGGACAAGGCUUUCAACAGGCAAGGAGAAAGUGCAGCUAUUCCCACACCCGUGUUUGUAUUAGAGGAGGUGUCUUCCAUCCAACACAGUCAAUAAGCUUCUGGUUUUUUCUAACUGCCUCCCAGUUCUCAUUCUGGGUUUGUUUCUUCAGUAGAUGCUCUCAGGACACCAGAAGCCAAGAUGUCUCAUCUAGCACCUUAAAAUUUUGUAGACAACUAAGCUUUUCUUUGCUGAGGACUGAAUGGGCCUUCCAAAUACAUCUGGGUGGAUAAAUAUUGAUUUCCUGGGCCUUCCAAAUACAUCUGGGUGGAUAAAUAUUGAUUUCCACCUUAGUUUUACGCCCAUAAAGCUGGAAUUGAGGAAAAAGGCCUUUCUCAAGGGGGGCAGGUUCUGUGUUACAGAAAAAGCUGAAAAAAACCAGACCCAUUAUGGGAAAACAGCCAUGAGCAAUUUUCCUUCUGUAUGCAGCAGUUAAAUGCUAAGUGUUAGUACUUAUGAUAAGUAGAGAACUUUUUUCUUCUUAUCUCAGAAAUUCACUUAUAAAAUUUGCAGUUAAUUUCUAAUUAGGUUGUUCAAACUAUUACAAUAAUCUUGAGGAAGCAGCUAUAGCAUUUUUGCAUCAUGGCACAGCAUUCUGUAUACAUCAGUCCAAAUGAUCCACUAAAGUAUUAUUAAAACGAUAGAACAAAUUGCAUUUACACAAUAUUAAAUAUACCAGAAAGAGUAACUGUGGAAAUUGCUGGCAUAUACAGCUCAUCUAACCUUGGAACUCAAAUUGCUUUUUUAAUUUGCUGCCCUCAUCCUUAAACUGGACUUCUGUAAAACUGUACUUCUAUGUUGAAGGGGAAGAAGAAAAGCACAAAUCACAAAUAUUGACAAAUCUAUUAAAUCACAUAGCAGAGAGAGAAAUUAUCAUGUUAAAAAGACCAGGCUGGUAGAACUAUACCUGACCACUGCAACAGAGAAAUUACUGUCAUUUCCCAUUAUUGCUCUGUCAGAGGUGCCAGAGUUGCAGCCCGCAGCUGGGACCGGUCAUUUGAUGUAUUUCCCUGCCUCUUGUGGCACAUGCAGGCUGCAGAGUGCCAGCUAGGCUGCUGAAAAGCAAUUCUGCCUCUCUGGCUACCCCAGUGUACCUGAGGAUCUGCUGCUUUACCUACCUGAGGUUGCCAACAACCUGUUUAUACAAGGGGCAAAUUCCCCCUUCUCCCAUUUAUUUUGCCGGGGUGUUUGCUUUAAUGCUUAGUAAUGCCACUGGAAGUGUUGGUGUAAUUUCACGGGUAGUGUAAUUGCAAGUUAACUUCGUGGCUGAUCUCUCCAACAGAUGGAAGCAGGGUGGGGGUGGUGAUGAAACCCACAGGAAAUGGGUGCUGCUGUAGGAAAAUGCAGAUGGAAAAAAGGAGACACAUAAGAACAGAGAAAUGGAAGAGAGAGAGAGAGAUCAAGGAACCAGGGGGCCUAAGAAACACACAGCAGAGGGAGGAUGCUCUGAAUAACCACUUCUUUAGAGAAAAUGAAAUGUAAUUUAAAAGGGUAUGAAGAAUUUAAUGUAAAUUACAGAUAGCAAAUCCUUUAAGGGACAUACACAAAAACCUACAGUGUGGUGGUCAGGUUACCCAGGUUACCUGGGAUCCUUGCAUUCAAGCCCCUGCUCCUCAGCAAACCCUCAGGCCAUCAUUAAUGAGCCUACAGCUUACUCAUGCUGUGGCACUCACGUUUCCUAGAGCCUCCACGCUCAUGAUGGCCAGUGCCAAACUCCAGGAACAGGACUCAGUCAGAAUUUGCUGUCUCAAUACAGCACAUAUUUCUCAUCAAAUCCCUCAGGAGCAGUUUCACAGAAAUGCAGCUUUACAACAUCUCAAUAGAUUCCUUGAGCCUGGGCACCUGAGCAACCUAGGUGUCACAAUGUUUUACCUCUCUGAGGUAAUGUGAGGAUAAAAGACAGAUGUCAAAAGAGAGGUCUUGGCACAUGAGGCCCAGCACCACGCACCCGUGGGCAUUCUGUUGGACCCAAGCUAAGGUCUCUACAGGAGAUGGUUUUGCUCCACAAGAUGCACCAGUGCUCUGCUCUGCUCCAGAUUUGAGGGUGUGACAGGAAUGCACCCUGAGAGCUGCUAUGCCACUUUCAUCCCAAAUCUAGAGCAGGUAUGAAUUUUUUGGUCAAGAACUUUUCUGCACAGAUUCACGCCUCUAGAAAUGUAAAGAAGUUGGGAAUGUCAGAGCAAUCCUUAAAAUUGAACCAAAGGGGGCAUCAGGGAGGAGGAAAAUUCGACUGAAGCUCAGCUGUCUGCAUCCAGCAUAGCCUGACCACAGGCAGGGAUUUGCUCCUGCUUCCCAUGGCAGUGGUUGGAGGAGGCGUGGGUAACAAUAACCUUGGCAACCAUUGCCUGCUCUGGGAAGUAUUUUAUUCAUCUAGGUACACAUUACACAUUGAAAAAAUGUUAUCAGAGUUUGAAAAGACAAUAGUUCAGAUGUGCUUGAUUUGUGGACUAUAAAUACAGGAGAGGGAAAAGGAGGCCUAACAAACCAGUGCAUCACAAAACAGUAACUGCAGAUAGAUUUCAAGGCUGAAGGGUAGCUUUUGUGGUGGUGCCUUAUGUAUUGCCUAUGACCACAAAGUGAGGAAGUGAGGAUGAGAGGCACUGUACUUAAUGAAGGGUCCUUUAUUAUUUUAAGAAACUAGGCCUUCUUCUGUUUCCCCCGCCCCACACUUUGUUUCUGAAUUCGGUGGAUACAAGAUCCCGAAAAGAAAGCAGUCCUGAGAAUUUGACUUAAUGUUCAGGGGGAAAAACUCACAGAAUUUCUGUUUUAUGCGUUCAUUCAUGCCAGUCUCAUCCCAAGCACAUCCUAUUUCUGUGGCCUAUAAACCAAAGACAGCAAAGAACUGAGAUGAGUAAAACCUCUUUAGUGUGCAAAGUGAGAGCCAUUGCUCUAGUUUGUGUACAGAUAGGUACAAAAAAUCUAUUUGUUUACAUACCGUGUAAAUAUCAACUAAAUAAUUCUUUCAAUAAAUGUGGAAGUAGGUCAUUUCUUAUUGAAA